GUGGGGAAUAUUGGACAAUGGGGGGAACCCUGAUCCAGCCAUGCCGCGUGUGUGAAGAAGGCCUUUUGGUUGUAAAGCACUUUAAGCGAGGAGGAGGCUCUUCUAGUUAAUACCUAGGAUGAGUGGACGUUACUCGCAGAAUAAGCACCGGCUAACUCUGUGCCAGCAGCCGCGGUAAUACAGAGGGUGCGAGCGUUAAUCGGAUUUACUGGGCGUAAAGCGUACGUAGGCGGCUUUUUAAGUCGGAUGUGAAAUCCCUGAGCUUAACUUAGGAAUUGCAUUCGAUACUGGGAAGCUAGAGUAUGGGAGAGGAUGGUAGAAUUCCAGGUGUAGCGGUGAAAUGCGUAGAGAUCUGGAGGAAUACCGAUGGCGAAGGCAGCCAUCUGGCCUAAUACUGACGCUGAGGUACGAAAGCAUGGGGAGCAAACAGGAUUAGAUACCCUGGUAGUCC
RNAcentral lists this ribosomal RNA (451 nucleotides) under uncultured bacterium. RNAcentral describes it as "partial 16S ribosomal RNA". It matches the Rfam family "Bacterial small subunit ribosomal RNA", at positions 354 to 796 of the family's 1533-position model. The record is from RNAcentral.